UAGCUCAGUCAGUAGAGAACCUGCCUGCAAUGCAGGAAACUCAGGUUCAGUUCCUGG
RNAcentral lists this transfer RNA (57 nucleotides) under Ovis aries (sheep). It matches the Rfam family "tRNA", at positions 8 to 63 of the family's 71-position model. From Rfam's summary of the family: Transfer RNA (tRNA) molecules are approximately 80 nucleotides in length. The record is from Rfam by way of RNAcentral. Lineage: Eukaryota; Metazoa; Chordata; Mammalia; Artiodactyla; Bovidae.